Molecule: small RNA, 1693 nt
Filed under: Pongo abelii (Sumatran orangutan)
Lineage: Eukaryota; Metazoa; Chordata; Mammalia; Primates; Hominidae
Description: retained intron
Source: RNAcentral
GAGGCGAGGUGUUGGCAGGGCCACCGUGUUCCUUCUGGAGGCUCCAGCACAUAGAUAGUCUUUCCUGGCCUGUUGCCAGCUUCUGGAGGUCACCUGUAUUGCUUGACUCAUGGCUUCUCAGUCUUCAAAGACAGUAGUGGCGUCUUCUCCGCUGUGGCCUGUAUCCCUCCUGGAUGAUGACUCUGUUCCCUUCCUUGGGGAAGCUUGUGGAGGGUACGGCUCAGGACUGCUUGGGCUCUGGGACCCUGACAUCUUCUGUCCCUGGCCCAUGGAGGCCUCAGGCAAUGUGUGGCCCACGGGUCAGUGAAUGAAUCAUGAAUGGCUAAGGAAGUACGUGCCUCCCCACCUGGCAGAUCCUGCCCGUUAAAGAGCUGUCACAAGUCCUUUGUGUCCCCAGCCCCAGCUGUCACAGCUUUGAUCACCCUGGAUUGUGAUUGUUUGGCUCCCUCUCCAUCACUGGACUGGGAACCCUACAGGACAGGCAUCCCCAGAGUCGCCCAGUGCAGCACCUGGCCCACACACAGGAGCUAUGUGCAGGAUAAAGCAUAGAAAAGUCAGGAGAGCCAGGAGGUUCUCACUGAGUGUCUGGAUGGUCCUCCAUGUCCUGGUUGGAUGACAAUGCUGUUCUCUCCCUGCAGACCCCCCAAGACCCAACCUGACCUCCCACCCAGAUGGCGAUGAAGAUCUGGAGCCUCUGGCUGGAGGAAGCCCAGAAGCAACAGGCCCUGGUGAGUGGAUGGAGAGGGGCCCCUUGUGUACCUUCUGUCUUCCAGACCUCCAUCCUGAGGCUGCAGCCAGCUUUCCCACAGGUCUACCCAGACAUUACAACGCUCAGCUUCAGGACUUCACUCUGCUUCUCGCUGGUUUCCAUCCCCUUGUCCUGGGAGCUGGGGGGAUCAGGACAUUUUUAUAGACCCUCACUCUAGUGUCUCUCUACCUUGCCCUUCAGCACAGGGUUAUCCUGGUGCCUCUCCACAGGUCCUCCUCUUUCCUUCCAGACUCAACAAGGGUACGCCUUCCACUCUCUCAGUUGGUCUCUCUACUUUCCUGCCUUGUGCUCCCUGAGUGUGUUGACCCUCAUUCUACUUCUUUUACCUCCUUUCCUUCAGGCCCAUUUUUCCUUCCUAUCCCUGGGGCAUAGCAGAUGGCCACAUCAGGGAGUAACUUAAGCCCAGGCCUGAAUGCUGCCAAGAGCAUCUGCCUUGCCAUCUCCCAAGCCGGGGUUCCUCCAGGUGGAUCAGGUUAGGUGGUGAGGAUUCCUGGGGUAUUACCCAUGGUAGAGAUGUCCCCAGCAUGAGAAGCAGGGCCCUGAACCAGAGACCACAGGAGUCUCAGGCUGUACCCCACCCAGUCAGUGUGCAGCUCCCUUCUUGGCUCACCACGCUCAGGCUGGUAUACGUGAGGCCUCUGCAGCCUUCUCUUCAGCACAUCAGUGUCCCUCAUAGGUGACUAACUCAUGCACAGGCUCUCACAGCUUCUGCUUUCUGUUUCUGUCAUCUCAGCAUAUUGGCUGUUUCCAAGCAUAGGUAGCCAUGCCUUUACUAACAAAUACACCUCCAGAUCCUCUAGUAGUGACACUUGAGUUGCAUAGUUACCACAUAAGCGUCUUUCCCCUUUAACGGCAUGCCUCUCUUAGAAGCAGGGCUUAGCUGAUUCACCCUGUAUUCCCAGCUCCUGACAUCAUGCUUGGCAC